Molecule: ribosomal RNA, 501 nt
Filed under: uncultured bacterium
Lineage: Bacteria
Description: bacterial SSU rRNA
Rfam family: Bacterial small subunit ribosomal RNA
Source: RNAcentral
UAGUCCACGCCGUAAACUAUGAUAACUCGCUGUUGGCGAUAUACUGUCAGCGGCCAAGCGAAAGCAUUAAGUUAUCCACCUGGGGAGUACGCGGCAACGGUAAAACUCAAAGGAAUUGACGGGGACCCGCACAAGCGGUGGAGCAUGUGGUUUAAUUCGAUGCAACGCGAAGAACCUUACCUGCCCUUGACAUUGACAGAAUCCCGUAGAGAUAUGGGAGUGCUUCGGCCUGGAAAACAGGUGCUGCAUGGCUGUCGUCAGCUCGUGUCGUGAGAUGUUGGGUUAAGUCCCACAACGAGCGCAACCCCUGUCACUAGUUGCCAGCAUUUAGUUGGGGACUCUAGUGAGACUGCCCAGAUCAACUGGGAGGAAGGUGGGGACGACGUCAAGUCAGUAUGGCCUUUAUACCUAGGGCUGCACACGUACUACAAUGUCCAGCACAAUGUGAACCGAUACCGCGAGGUGGAGGAAAUCUCAAAAACUGGGACUCAGUUCGGAUUG